AUACGGAGGGUGCAAGCGUUAAUCGGAAUUACUGGGCGUAAAGCGCGCGUAGGCGGCUUUGUAAGUCGGAUGUGAAAGCCCCGGGCUUAACCUGGGAAUUGCAUUCGAUACUGCAGAGCUAGAGUAUGGUAGAGGGAAGUGGAAUUUCCGGUGUAGCGGUGAAAUGCGUAGAUAUCGGAAGGAACACCAGUGGCGAAGGCGACUUCCUGGGCCAAUACUGACGCUGAGGUGCGAAAGCGUGGGGAGCAAACAGGAUUAGAAACCCCGGUAGUCC
RNAcentral lists this ribosomal RNA (274 nucleotides) under uncultured bacterium. Its description in RNAcentral is "partial 16S ribosomal RNA". It matches the Rfam family "Bacterial small subunit ribosomal RNA", at positions 523 to 796 of the family's 1533-position model. The record is from RNAcentral.